UUCGGAUGAGAUGAAAGAGGCCAUAUGGUAUAAGGGUCUCUGCAUAUUUGUCUCCGGCUUCAACCGAGGUUUAAGAGAGGCCAGGCAUAAUCCAUCUGUUCCCCUGACCGUACUCCGAGCUAAAGAAGAGGAUUCCGAUGGUGAGAUCGUGGCCUACGGGGAGGACGAUAUGCCUCUGCCCAAAGGGACUUCUCUUGCUAAAGUUGGGCCUUCUGAGGCAGGAUCCGAGCUGAACACAGAGAAUGUGGAAGUCCUCAACCCUGAGGUAGGCGUCGCCGAGCCUCAGAAGAAAGGUAUAGGAUCCGAGCUGAACACAGAGAAUGUGGAAGUCCUCAACCCUGAGGUAGGCGUCGCCGAGCCUCAGAAGGAAGGUAUAGGAC
Molecule: long non-coding RNA, 380 nt
Filed under: Manihot esculenta (cassava)
Lineage: Eukaryota; Viridiplantae; Streptophyta; Magnoliopsida; Malpighiales; Euphorbiaceae
Description: long non-coding RNA (MESC_LNC006630)
Source: RNAcentral